Molecule: long non-coding RNA, 1200 nt
Filed under: Amborella trichopoda
Lineage: Eukaryota; Viridiplantae; Streptophyta; Magnoliopsida; Amborellales; Amborellaceae
Description: long non-coding RNA (ATRI_LNC000252)
Source: RNAcentral
GCCAAUACCUUUGACCUUAGGUCAAACAACCUUUAUGACCUUUAAUCCUCCUAAUUCAAACCCAUUACACCACCCAAAUGCACCUAAAACAGCUCAUUUACAAAUUGAAAAUAUCCCAACGAAUAUGACAAGACGGGUGACACGAAACUGCAAAAUUGUGGGCUCCACCAUAUCUAUGUAACACCUAUUUACACAUAUGUAAUACUGUGUUUCGCAAGAGAUCUAUGGCCCAGAUUGAGCCUCUACUUGCAAGAGCCGUUAUCUAGGUAUUAGCUUAUAAAUGUAGACCCUCACCUACGGUAUUGGGACCUCGGAUUUUAGAGAAUUGGACGAAGCCCAACCAUUUAACACACUGAAAGCCUGAAUCCUUAGAAACCCUAAAGCCAAGAACCCUAAUUCCCCUUCUCAUAGACCUCUGAGCCUACUUUAAACCUCUAAAACCUUACCCUAACCCAACAAGAUAUACCCUCUAACCAAUUAAAUCAUACACUCUCAGUUACCAUCCAUAGACCCUAGACUCUUUUUAUAGAUCCUAGGCUUAGUAUCCCAUUUAAACCUAGUUUAACACCGAUUCAAUCUUAACAUUGUUCCAUCCCAAUUGGCAAACUCUAAUAGGCGAAAGAGGUCGGCACACAAUCUCAUAUCUUAGCCAGACCACCAACUCCGGGUCCCUGGGGUGUGGGCCCGGUUUCAAGUAAGUUCAUCAAUUUUUCUUUUAUUGAGAUUUUCAUUUUGCAUAUUUAGUACAGUUUAGCCUUGGUCCCUUAUUUCAAAACCAUUUUCUAAAUCUCUCCCCUUCUUUGCUUUAGAAUUUCCUAAACUUCUUCUUGUUUACGAAUUUUCGGCCUCAUCGUCCCAUAAGCUAGUAACUGUCAGUGAUCGUGUGAGAGAGCAAACCUUCGGCCUACAUCCCUCUCAUACCAUAAUUUGAUGGGGCUCCAAUCUCUUCCUCUGAUUGACUUCGUUCCCGUUUGUAGGUGUGUGGCGUCACGGUCGAAGAGUUGUGUCCCGCCUCGCCGCCCUCAGGCGUAAUUGUGAACACUCCCCAACAUUGUAUUACCUCUCUAAAGUUUUACUGUUCAUGGCAAAUUAUAAAGCUUUGAAUGAGUUUGAAAAAGACUUCCAUUAUAAGGAGUUAAAGAUGUACCUUAACAUGUCACAUCUUUUGUUUUACUGCAAAAUAAAAGAUGAGCAUCCCAU